UGCGUCAAUUGGGGUACAGGGAGAC
This 25-nucleotide non-coding RNA is filed under the name Rattus norvegicus (Norway rat). The record is from RNAcentral. Lineage: Eukaryota; Metazoa; Chordata; Mammalia; Rodentia; Muridae.